UACAGAGGGUGCAAGCGUUAAUCGGAAUUACUGGGCGUAAAGCGUGCGUAGACGGUUACAUAAGGCGGGUGUGAAAGCCCCGGGCUCAACCUGGGAAUUGCAUUCGAGACUGCGUAGCUAGGGUGCGGAAGAGGGGAGCGGAAUUUCCGGUGUAGCGGUGAAAUGCGUAGAUAUCGGAAGGAACACCAGUGGCGAAAGCGGCUUCCUGGUCCAGCACCGACGUUCAGGCACGAAAGCGUGGGGAGCAAACAGG
Molecule: ribosomal RNA, 253 nt
Filed under: uncultured bacterium
Lineage: Bacteria
Description: partial 16S ribosomal RNA
Rfam family: Bacterial small subunit ribosomal RNA
Source: RNAcentral